GGCUACAGUGAGUGCAGUCACACACUGGACUGGAGAGACCUCCACUGUACCUCGCGCACAUAAUAGGCUCUUAGAAGCUUCGGCAGAACAAUCAGUGACUGAAGUGUUAUUAAAGGAAGAUUAUGUGCUCAUUUUCAUGGUGCCUUAAGCCACCUAUGUGACCUUGAAUAUGUCAAUUCCUAUCUCUUAGCUUGUCUGAUGUGUUUACCUCACAGUCUCUCCAAGCUAACUAUGAGGUAAGGGACCCCAACCAUUUUGAAAACUUAGUGCCGUAGAAACAUGGUAAAAAACAAUCAUUGACAUCAAACUCAUCAGAGAUUCUUUAGACAAUCUCUUCUAUUCUAAGACAAGUAGAAC
RNAcentral lists this long non-coding RNA (357 nucleotides) under Canis lupus familiaris (dog). RNAcentral describes it as "lncRNA (ENSCAFG00000041824.2, ENSCAFG00805007985.1, ENSCAFG00845014046.1)". The record is from RNAcentral. Lineage: Eukaryota; Metazoa; Chordata; Mammalia; Carnivora; Canidae.